CAGUCGCCGCGGUAAUACGGAGGGCGCGAGCGUUACCCGGAUUUACUGGGCGUAAAGCGUGCGCAGGCGGUUUGUUAAGACAGAUGUGAAAUCCCCGGGCUCAACCUGGGAACUGCAUUUGUGACUGGCAAGCUAGAGUGUGGCAGAGGGGGGUGGAAUUCCGCGUGUAGCAGUGAAAUGCGUAGAUAUGCGGAGGAACACCGAUGGCGAAGGCAGCCCCCUGGGCCAACACUGACGCUCAUGCACGAAAGCGUGGGGAGCAAACAGGAUUAGAUACCCGGGUAGUCCCUGUCUCUUAUAC
RNAcentral lists this ribosomal RNA (301 nucleotides) under uncultured bacterium. RNAcentral describes it as "partial 16S ribosomal RNA". It matches the Rfam family "Bacterial small subunit ribosomal RNA", at positions 509 to 807 of the family's 1533-position model. The record is from RNAcentral.